Molecule: non-coding RNA, 30 nt
Filed under: Mus musculus (house mouse)
Lineage: Eukaryota; Metazoa; Chordata; Mammalia; Rodentia; Muridae
Source: RNAcentral
UAGGAAGAAGAGCUGGCACCCCACUCGUGU